AGUUCUGCACAUUACCCCAGAACUUACAAUAUAAUUUAAAAAAACAAAACUGCCAUUUUGGUCAGGCUCAGACCUGUGCUGCCUCAGGAUGUAAUGUGUAACAAAGGAACCCGGGUCUGCAGCGUGGGCCUGUGAGGCCUGUGGGUGCCUGUGUUCCCCAGCUCCCCCCGCAGCUGACUCCACAGUGGUCCCCUCCAGUUGUCCCCUCCAACACACAAGGCUGUGUGUUCUCCACCACUUAUUGUUACCUCAACAGGCCAGGGUUACUGCAGUGACCCCCAUAGUAGCCUUGGCCCUAUGGAGGAGCCUGGGGCUACCCCGCAGCCAUACUUGGGGCUGUUCCUGGAGGAGCUAUGCAGGUCUGUGGCAGCACUGCCUAAAAGUGAGACCAGAUUCUAAUCCCUAUGGUUUUCCAUGGGAAUUGGUGAUAUAUGCAGCUGUUGUUGAAUUUUUUGUUGUUCUCUUUUCGUUUGGGGAGAAGUUUUAGGUCGGUUAGGAGUUGGCUUUAUGUGGGAAGAGAGAAAAAGCUUGCUGUAGCACUUUCUGGAAUAACUGAAGAAAAAUUUAAACCGUCUGAAAAAUUUAGCCUUAUUCAAAAAACAUAUGAAGGCUGUGAAGUAGAGUUAUCUUUAAAGAAUGCCAGCUUUGAGAAGGAGGCAACAGAAACACAAAGUGUGGAGGCAGCCUGUGAAAAGCUGAAUAGGUCCAAUUCUGAAUUUGAAGAUGAAAUACUCUGUCUAGAAAAAGAGUUAAAAGAAGAGAAAUCUAAACAUUCUAAACAAGAUGAACUGAUGGCGGAUAUUUCAAAAAGGAUACAGCCUCUAGAAGAUGAUUCAAAAUCCCUCAAAUCACAAUUAGCUGAAGCCAAAAUGACCUUCAAGAUAUUUCAAAUGAAUAAAGAAUGAUGGAAGAUAGCAAUAACAGGAAAGCCAGAAACAGUUUUACAAGAAGCUGACAUGUGGAAAGAACGAGUGAGUGAACUUAAUAAACAAAAAUUAACAUUUGAGGACUCCAAAGUACAUGGAGAACAAGUUCUAAAUGAUGAAAAUCACAUCAAAACUCUGACUGAACAUUUGCUAAAGAUGAAAGAUUGGGUUGACAUGCUUGGAGAAGAUAUAGCAGAUGAUGAUAACUUGGAAUUAGAAAUGAACAAUGAAUCAGAAAAUGGUGCGUACUUAGAUAAUCCUCCAAAAGGAGCUUUGGAGAAACUGAUUAACGCUGCUAAGUUAAAUGCUUCUUUAAAAACCUUAAAAGGAGAAAGAAACCAAAUUUAUAUUCAGUUAUCUGAAGUUGAUAAAACAAAGGAAAAGCUUACACAGCAUAUUAAAAAUCUUCAGACUGAACAAGCAUCUUUGCAGCUAGAAAACACACAUUUUGAAAGUGAGAAUCAGAAGCUUCAACAGAAACUUAAAAUAAUGACUGAAUUAUAUCAAGAAAAUAAAAUGAAACUCCACAGGAAAUUAACAGUAGAGGAAAAUUACCCGUUACAGAAAGAAGGGAAUCUUUCUAAAGUAGAAAAAAAGAUCAGACAUGCCACUGAAGAGCUGGAGACCUAUGGAAAGCAAGCUGAAGAUCUUGAAGAACUGGAGAGAAAUACUCACUUUUAUCAAGGGCGGAUUAUUUCCUAUGAGAAAAAAGCUCACAAUAAUUUGCUUGGCAUCUUGGACUGCUGAAAUGAUUUAAGGAAAGAAAAUGCUCACAACACACAAAAAUUAACUGAAACAGAGUUUAAAUUUAAACUUUUAGAAAAAGAUCCUUAUGCACUUGAUGUUCCAGAUACAGCAUUUGGCAAUGGUCCCUCACCAUUGGGUCGGCCUUCAUCCGAAACAAGAGCUUUUCUCUCUCCUCCAACUUUGUUGGAGGGUCCACUCAGACUCUCACCUUUGCUUCCAAGUGGAGGAGGAAGAGGCUCAAGAUGCCCAGGGAAUCCUCUGGACCAUCAGAUUAUCAAUGAAAGAAGAGAAUCAAGCUGUGAUAGGUUAACCCAUCCUCGCAGGGUUCCUUCUGACACUGGGUCCCUGUCACCUCUGUGGGAACCGGACCAUAUAAAUAGCAGUUAUUUGUUUUCUCUGAUCCACCAGGACAAUUAUAUCCUGAUUCAGCUCUUCCUCCACAAAUGCAAGACAGAUUUUAUUCUAAUUCUGGUAGACUGUCUGGACCAGCAGAACUCAGAAGUUUUAAUAUGACUUCUUUGGAUAAAAUGGAAGGGUCAAUGCCUUCCUAAAUGGAAUCCAGUAGAAAUGAUACCAAAGAUGAUCUUGGUAAUUUAAAUGUGCCUGCUUCAUCUUUCCCUGCUAAAAAUAAAGCAAAUGCCCCUAGCUUUGUUCCUCCACCUCUUACUCCAAUUAGAGGUCCAUUGUUUCCAGUGGAUACAAAGGGUCCGUUCAUGAGAAGAGGACUUCCUUUGCCCCCACCUCUUCCAGGAACCAUGUUUGGAGCUUCUUAAGAUUAUUUUCCACCAAGGGAUUUCCCAGGUCCACCAUAUGCUCCAUUUGCAAUGAGAAAUGUCUAUCCACUGAGGGGUUUUCCUCCUUACCUUCCCCCAAGACCUGGAUUUUUUCCCCACCCCCACAUUCUGAAGGUAGAAGUGAGUUCCCUUCAGUGUUGAUUCCACCUUCAAAUGAGCCUGUUACUGAACAUCCAGAACCACAGCAAGAAACCUGGCAAUAUUUUUGGUCUCUUCAAAAGUAAUUUUGACAGAUCUCAUUUUCAAUUUAAGUAACUGCUGUUACUUAAGUGAUUACAUUUUUGCUUAAAUUGAAGCUUAAUGGAUCUAUAAUUCUCAGGAUGGUAUUUUGUAAAUAAAGAUGAUUUAAAUAUCGAAAAAAUAGCUUUCUCAUUAUACUCUCAACUUUUUAGUUUAUUGUCUAAUUGUUACCUGUCUUUGUAAUCUCAGUGGGUAGCACAAUGCCCAGCACAAAAUGACACUUAAAAAACUCUUGUAGAUGGAAAAAAUAAACAACAAUAGACCUAAAAGCCAUGUUGUAUGAAUUCACCAUGGCCAUUUGCUAUAUUUGCUGUAUAAGAAAAAAAGGAUAUUACCAUUUUUAAAUGUGUAAAAGAAAGAGACAUUCCAGUUGAUUACAGAAAAUCAUCUAGAAGAAGUGAAUAGAAACUAUAGGAGAUAUAUUUUUGCUCACUGUAUAAUUAGAACUUUUUCAAAUGGGAUGAUUCCCAUGAGGUGGGAUCCUCAAUUCAAUAUAACUGUUCAAGCAGAGUCUGAAUGCCUUUUUGUCACUGAAUGAGGAAUGGGGGGAUGGAUAAAGAAUUUCUCAAAUUCCUUCCACCUUUAAGAUUCUUCCACUUUAAACUGAACAUUUAGUAAACAAAUAAACUGACUUUCACAAAACAUUGUUUUUAGGCAGAAAAACUAUUGUCCGAGAAGAAUGACGACUAAAGCACAAAGAAGUUGGCUAUUUUUAAAAAGGUACCCUUCUAAUCUGUCUGGAAUUAAACUAAGGGCAUAAACAUACUUAGAAAAAGAUAAACUGCAAUUUCAAGCUGUCACUAAAUUUCCAUAAAUAAGGUAAAAUUCUUAGAGGAAGUGGAUCAGAAAAAACAAAUAACUGCUAUUUAUACCGACCUCUUACCCUAAGCCCUAAAAACUCGUGCAUACAUAAUGACUAAGAAAAUGAAAAUAACAAAUCAGAUCAAUUAUAUUAGAACUUUUACUGUCCAAGAAUAGCCAUCUCUUCCAAUGAAGGAAAACUCAAUAAAUUACAUUUAGAAAGAGCAACUCAAUCACCCAUGUAGCUUCUGGCUGCCACCAGAAAGAUCAGAGGAAGUUAUUAUUAGAAAACUUGGGAAAGGCACAUUAGAAACCACAGCAAAGCCCUUGGAUAUUUAAAAACUCAAAUAGUUUCCAUCUGUGUUUCAAGCCAUAACCAAAUUUGCCCAAACAUUGGAUAUACUGGGGAGAAAGAUAAAUCAAUAUGCAAGGUUAGUAAAUAAGAGAUACAUGGAAAUGGAGACCCCUAGCAAAUGUAGUUG
This is an RNA transcript of Sapajus apella (tufted capuchin), 3990 nucleotides long. It is a transcript of the gene named melanoma inhibitory activity protein 2-like, with no coding region annotated. The record is from RefSeq and is a predicted model, not a curated record. NCBI's taxonomy places the organism in Eukaryota, Metazoa, Chordata, Mammalia, Primates, Cebidae. The transcript has a single exon.